RNAcentral lists this unclassified non-coding RNA (295 nucleotides) under Hevea brasiliensis (rubber tree). Lineage: Eukaryota; Viridiplantae; Streptophyta; Magnoliopsida; Malpighiales; Euphorbiaceae. The record is from RNAcentral.
AGAGAGAGAGAGAGAAAUGGGAGGCGUAACAGUGAAGAUAGGGGUAGACUAAAUAGGGCGGUGGACGGGAAGAAACCGCGUUGUUACGGGGGAACACGCGUCAGCUUUAUUGUACGGAGAUGGGGAUGUAUGUAUAACUCUUCAACUAUACUAAACUAAAACUAAACCAUGGUUUGUUAAUUUUGACUGUUUGAUGAGUCAUUUAUGAGUGUGUAAUAAUUAUGGUACAAUACUCAGUGGCGUCAGUCAGACUUACAAGGCAAGUGGCCUUUGAGCUUUGACUGUCAAACCGCAG